Molecule: long non-coding RNA, 620 nt
Organism: Neoarius graeffei (lesser salmon catfish)
Lineage: Eukaryota; Metazoa; Chordata; Actinopteri; Siluriformes; Ariidae
Exons: 3
Source: RefSeq, a predicted model, not a curated record
CUGUCGCAACAGGACCAGUUCAGGAAGAAGUUUUUCCAAGAGAGAAGAGGCAGAGAGAGUGGAUUGUGCACGUGAAGCCAGAGGGUUGUUUUUUUCCGGAAGAGGAGGAGAUGAGGUGGAGAGAGUAGAUUGUGCGCGUGAAACAAAAUCAAGCAGUCAAAGAAGAAACAGAGCAGCAACGCUCAAGCAAAAAUAAGAUUGGAGUGAACUGUAACAAUGGGACCGGUUCAGGAAGAAGUUUACAUUUUUCUGAGAGAGUGGAUUGUGCACGUGAAGCCAGAGGGUUAUUUUUUUCCGGAAGAGGAGACAAGAUGGAGAGUGGAUUGUGCGUGUGAAACAAAAUCAAGCAGUCAAAGAAGAAAUGGAGCAGCAAUGCUCAAGCAAAAAGGAGAAGAUUGGAGCAAAUGAUGACUGGAACUAAGAUGAGAAGCAAUCCUGCCGUCACUCCAACACCAAUGUAGGGAGCCAGAGAUGCUGAGAGAAACCAUCAAGCUUUUGAAAUAUUAAACCGCAGAACACAAAAACAGAGCUAGUUUAUUUUACUAUACCUUUCACAACAAUGACCAAGGGUUCAGUGGCAGUGGAGGUAAAGAUGCGUGUAGACACGUUCACUUCAUAAG